GUGGCCACAUCAGAGACGUUGGUGGCCACGGGGGUGGCUCCAGCGUUGAUACUGGUGACACUGGUGGCCACAGCGCGGACGGUGGUGGCCACAGCAGGGAGGUUGGUGGCCACAGCGGGGACGUUGGUGGCCACGGAGGUGGCACCGGUAGCUCCAGCGUUGAUACUGGUGACACUGGUGGCCACGGUGGGGACGCUGGUGGCCACCGCAGAGAGGUUGGUGGCCCUGGGGCCACUGGUCAAACUGGUGGCCACGGUGGGGACGUUGGUGGCCUUGGGAGCGACGGCGACGCUGGUGGCCACUGGGGUGACGCUGGUGGCCACGGUGGCUGCAGGGGUGGCCUUGGGAGCGCUGGUGGCCACGGAGGGGACACUGGUGGCCACGGGGGUGACGGUGACACCGGCCGGAGCGGUGGCCUUAACGCUGGUGGCCACGGAGGGGACACUGGUGGCCACAGCGCGGACGGUGGUGGCCACAGCAGGGAGGUUGGUGGCCACAGCGGGGACGUUGGUGGCCACGGAGGUGGCACCGGUAGCUCCAGCGUUGAUACUGGUGACACUGGUGGCCACGGUGGGGACGCUGGUGGCCACCGCAGAGAGGUUGGUGGCCCUGGGGCCACUGGUCAAACUGGUGGCCACGGUGGGGACGUUGGUGGCCUUGGGAGCGACGGCGACGCUGGUGGCCACUGGGGUGACGCUGGUGGCCACGGUGGCUGCAGGGGUGGCCUUGGGAGCGCUGGUGGCCACGGAGGGGACACUGGUGGCCACGGGGGUGGCGUUGGUAGCCCUGGGGCCAUCCCUGGGACCAGUCACAGCGGUGGCCACCGCAGGGGGGAUGGUGGCCACGCUGGCCUUGGGGGUGACGUUGGUGGCCACGCUGGCCUUGGUGGCCCCCAUGGCAGCAGUGAUGGCCCCCGGGGUGAGGUUGGUGGCCACGGGGGGCUUGGUGGCCCCUGGGGUGACGACGGUGGCCACGGUGGCCCCUGGGGUGGCUUUGGUGGCCCCGGGGGUGACAACAGUGGCCCCCGGGGUGGCUUUGGUGGCCACUGGGGUGACAGAGUCCACGGCGACCCCUGCGGUGGCUUUGGUGGCCACUGGGGUGAGGGUGGUGGCCACGGUGGCGUUGGUGGCCCCCAGGGUGGCGUUGGUGGCCACGGUGGCUUUGGUGGCCCCUGGGGUGACAACGGUGGCCACGGUGGAGUUAGUAGCCCCCACGGAGACGUUGGUGGCCCCCGGGGUGACAACGGUGGCCACGGAGACGUUGGUGGCCCCCGGGGUGGCGUUGGUGGCCACGGAGACGUUGGUGGCCCCCAUGGAGACGUUGGUGGCCACGGAGACGUUGGUGGCCCCCGGGGUGACGUUGGUGGCCCCCGGGGUGCCAGCGACAGCGGUGGCCUUGGGGGUGACAUUAGUGGCCACGGGGGCGCCGCUGGUGGCCACGGGGGCGCCGCCGUCCACGGUGGCCUUGGGGGUGACGUUAGUAGCCACAGGGGUGACGUUAGUAGCCCGGGGGGCGCCGCCGGUAGCCACAGCGACCUUGGUGGCCCCCGGGGUGGCCGGGGGGGCCUUGGUGAGGUUGGUGGCCACAGGGGAGGGGCNNNNNNNNNNNNNNNNNNNNNNNNNNNNNNNNNNNNNNNNNNNNNNNGAUGUGACGGGGGAGGGCGGGGCCGGCGGCUUCGAGGGCGUGGCUGCGGGUGAUGACGUCACCGAUGAUGUCAUCGAUGAGGUUGACGUCACGGAUGAUGUCAGGGAUGACGUCACGGAUGGUGACGUCCCGGGUGAUGUCACCGAUGAUGUCACCGCCGGCCCCGAUGAGGUCACCGAGGGCUUUGACGUCACUGAUGACGUCAUCGGCGGCCCCGCUGAGGUCUUUGACGCCGCUGCUGAUGUCAUCAAUGACGUCACUGACGGCCCUGCUGAGGUCACUGCGGGCUUUGACGUCGCUGCUGAUGUCAUCGCCGGCCCCGAUGAGGUCACCGCCGCCUUGGACGCUGCUGCUGAUGUCAUCGAUGACGUCACCGCCGCCCCUGGUGAUGUCACUGCUGCCUUCGACGCCGCUGAUGUCACCGCCGGCCCUGGUGACGUCACCGAGGGCUUCGACGUCACCGAUGAUGUCACUGAUGACCCCGCUGAGGUCACCGCGGCCUUGGACGGCGCCGAUGACGUCGUAGACGGCGCCGAUGACGUCACUGGCGUCUUCGAUGACGUCACGGGCGACGCCCCCGCGGGCCCUGAUGAUGUCACCGCCGUCGACGCCUUCGGUGACGUCACGGGGGGCGCUGACGUCAUCGUCGACGUCAUCGUUGACGUUGUCGUCGCCGUCGUUGUUGAUGAUGUCAUCGGGGGGGUCGAUGAUGUCAUCGGGGAGGCGGAUGAUGUCAUCGGGGGGGUCGCUGACGUCACGGCCUUGCCGUCGGGCCCCGCCCCCGCCCCGGUAGCCCCCCUGGGGGGGUCGGUCGCCCCCUGGUUUCCGGUUCCCCCCCCCUCGGUGCCGGGCGGGGCGGG
RNAcentral lists this long non-coding RNA (2504 nucleotides) under Calidris pugnax (ruff). RNAcentral describes it as "lncRNA (ENSCPUG00000008201.1)". Lineage: Eukaryota; Metazoa; Chordata; Aves; Charadriiformes; Scolopacidae. The record is from RNAcentral.